RNAcentral lists this ribosomal RNA (253 nucleotides) under uncultured bacterium. Its description in RNAcentral is "partial 16S ribosomal RNA". It matches the Rfam family "Bacterial small subunit ribosomal RNA", at positions 524 to 776 of the family's 1533-position model. The record is from RNAcentral.
UACAGAGGGGGCAAGCGUUAUUCGGAAUUAUUGGGCGUAAAGGGCGCGUAGGCGGCCUUGCAAGUGGCGGGUGAAAUCCCUCGGCUUAACCGAGGAACUGCCUGCCAGACUGCAAGGCUCGAGACCGGGAGAGGUGAGUGGAAUUCCCAGUGUAGCGGUGAAAUGCGUAGAUAUUGGGAGGAACACCGGUGGCGAAGGCGACCACCUGGACGGAGACUGACGCUGAGGCGCGAAAGCGUGGGGAGCAAACAGG